GGAUAUUCAUGGAAAAAAAGAAAUUUGGGAUAUUACUACAAGCAUUUCGAUCAAUCCAAGCAUUCAUUAAUAAUAAUUAUGACCUUUUCAUGCUCUUUUAAAUUAUUUUAUUUUUACAAUCUUUUAAAUAAUUGACUUGAAAUCCAACAUAUGCAAUAGUUAUGGUCUAAGGGCAAUGUGUAGCAAUUACAGCUAAUUCACUACAUGUGGUGGUUAAGUUUGAUCAAACAACACCUAAUCCACUGUAUUUAGUAGCUAACUUUGAUCCAAUAAUAUACUCCAUUAGUAAUUAUAUGUUGUCGAAAAAUAUUACGGAGUAGUAUUCAUCUUUGGUGAUUUCCCUUUCCUAUCAUGAAAGGUUAGAACAAUAAUGACAAUGUAGUAAAAAAAAAAAUUCUUAAUAUUGUUAAGUUUGUUUAUAUGUGACCUCUUUACUAAAUUUGUAUUAAAGGGACAAACACAACACAUUAAUCUGCUUAAGGGAUAUACUUAAUGUAUAAUUUUUUUUUUUGUAAGAGUCUUUUACAACUCAUUAAGCGGAAAAAAUUAUUUAUUCAAUGUUAGGAGAGGAUGAACUUUAUAAAUUGUAAAGUGAUAAAAUCAUUUGUUACAUACCACGAGAGGAAAUAUGGCUGAAAUUGGCAAACUAGCUUGUGUUAUUAUCCUUCUUUUGCUAUUUCUUGUUGCAACAAACAUUGAAGCGAGGAAAAGCAGGAGAUGUUUUAGUGAUUCAGAUUGUAUGAACAUGUUUUGUCGACGUCCUAAGAUACAAAAGUGCAUGUAUCAAUCCCUAUGCAAAUGUGUUUUGCCAGUGUUCUAAAACGAUUAUUAUGUGCCAACAUGAUUCUAUUUCGUGUCAUACCAAAGAUAUAUUGUACACAAAAGCUCAAUAAUUUGAUCUUUUUUCUAAUUUCAAGAAUAUUGUAGUUAUGGAUUUAGUAUACUCUAAGAUGAUGGUAAUGUAAUGAAAUAAAGCACCAAUUAAUAUUAUUUAGAUUGUCUUCUUCUCUUUUAAA
This is a long non-coding RNA of Trifolium pratense (red clover), 1016 nucleotides long. RefSeq lists it as uncharacterized. The transcript has 2 exons. The record is from RefSeq and is a predicted model, not a curated record. Lineage: Eukaryota; Viridiplantae; Streptophyta; Magnoliopsida; Fabales; Fabaceae.